RNAcentral lists this ribosomal RNA (945 nucleotides) under uncultured archaeon. RNAcentral describes it as "bacterial SSU rRNA". It matches the Rfam family "Archaeal small subunit ribosomal RNA", at positions 1 to 940 of the family's 1478-position model. The record is from RNAcentral.
GAAUUCACUAGUGAUUUCUGGUUGAUCCUGCCAGACCCGACUGCUAUCAGAGUGGGACUAAGCCAUGCGAGUCAACGUAGCAAUGCGUGGCGAACGGCUCAGUAACACGUAGUCAACAUGCCCAGGGGACGUGGAUAACCUCGGGAAACUGAGAUUAAACCGCGAUAGGUCAAGAUUUCUGGAAUAGAUCGUGUCUUAAAUCUACAUGGCCCCUGGAUUGGACUGCGGCCGAUCAGGCUGUUGGUGAGGUAAUGGCCCACCAAACCUAUAACCGGUACGGGCUCUGAGAGGAGAAGCCCGGAGAUGGGCACUGAGACAAGGGCCCAGGCCCUAUGGGGCGCAGCAGGCGCGAAACCUCUGCAAUGGGCGAAAGCCUGACAGGGUUACUCUGAGUGAUUUCCGCUAAGGAGAUCUUUUGGCAGCUCUAAAAAUGGUGCAGAAUAAGGGGUGGGCAAGUCUGGUGUCAGCCGCCGCGGUAAUACCAGCACCCCGAGUGGUCGGGACGAUUAUUGGGCCUAAAGCAUCCGUAGCCGGUUGUGCAAGUCCUCCGUUAAAUCCAGCCGCUCAACGGAUGGGCUGCGGAGGAUACUACAGAACUAGGAGGCGGGAGAGGCAAGCGGUACUUAGUGGGUAGGGGUAAAAUCCUUUGAUCCAUUGAAGACCACCAGUGGCGAAGGCGGCUUGCCAGAACGCGCUCGACGGUGAGGGAUGAAAGCUGGGGGAGCAAACCGGAUUAGAUACCCGGGUAGUCCCAGCUGUAAACGAUGCAGACUCGGUGAUGGGCUAGCCUCGUGUCAGCCCAGUGCCGCAGGGAAGCCGUUAAGUCUGCCGCCUGGGGAGUACGGUCGUAAGACUGAAACUUAAAGGAAUUGGCGGGGGAGCACCACAAGGGGUGAAGCCUGCGGUUCAAUUGGACUCAACGCCGGGAAUCGAAUUCCCGCGGCC